UACAGAGGUGGCAAGCGUUGUUCGGAAUUACUGGGCGUAAAGGGCUCGUAGGCGGCCAACUAAGUCAGACGUGAAAUCCCUCGGCUUAACCGGGGAACUGCGUCUGAUACUGGAUGGCUUGAGUUUGGGAGAGGGAUGCGGAAUUCCAGGUGUAGCGGUGAAAUGCGUAGAUAUCUGGAGGAACACCGGUGGCGAAGGCGGCAUCCUGGACCAACACUGACGCUGAGUGAGCGAAAGCCAGGGGAGCAAACGGG
This 254-nucleotide ribosomal RNA is filed under the name uncultured bacterium. Its description in RNAcentral is "partial 16S ribosomal RNA". It matches the Rfam family "Bacterial small subunit ribosomal RNA", at positions 524 to 776 of the family's 1533-position model. The record is from RNAcentral.